GACGAACCGUGCGAACGUUAUUCGGAAUUAUUGGGCGUAAAGAGCGUGUAGGCGGUCCGGUAAGUCGGCUGUGAAAGUCCAGGGCUCAACCCUGGGAUGCCGGUCGAUACUGCCGGACUAGAGUUCGGAAGAGGCGAGUGGAAUUCCCGGUGUAGCGGUGAAAUGCGUAGAUAUCUGGAGGAACACCGGUGGCGAAGGCGGCAUCCUGGACCGAAACUGACGCUGAGGAGCGAAAGCCAGGGGAGCAAACGGG
This 253-nucleotide ribosomal RNA is filed under the name uncultured bacterium. Its description in RNAcentral is "partial 16S ribosomal RNA". It matches the Rfam family "Bacterial small subunit ribosomal RNA", at positions 524 to 776 of the family's 1533-position model. The record is from RNAcentral.